AUGGCUGCCUUGGACGUGGAUAGCGGCGGCGGCGGUGGCGGCGGCGGCGGCCACGGCGAGUAUCUGCAGCAGCAGCAACAGCACGGAAACGGUGCGGUGGCGGCGGCAGCGGCGGCCCAGACACUCAGCCGUCACCGCUCGCUCUGCUGGCCGCUACCUGCAGCAAGAUAGGGCCGCCAUCGCCGGGCGACGACGAGGAGGAGGCGGCCGCCGCAGCCGGGGCCCCCGCCGCCGCCGGAGCACAGGUGAUUUGGCUUCUGCACAGUUAGGAGGAGCACCAAACCGAUGGGAGGUUUU
RNAcentral lists this long non-coding RNA (297 nucleotides) under Homo sapiens (human). RNAcentral's name for it is "non-protein coding lnc-OLA1-4:2". Lineage: Eukaryota; Metazoa; Chordata; Mammalia; Primates; Hominidae. The record is from RNAcentral.